AGCAACUCAGGGAAAACAGGAAUUUAAAAAGCCAGCUUCUUCUAAGUAAUCAGAGGAGGUAAUGGACAGGACCAGCUAACAGGAGUUUUUUUAGGGAGUUUGCCAGGUGAAGGAGAAGCAACUACGUGACCUCUGGGGGAAAGCCUCAAGACUAAUCUGGCCCAUGUUGCGGGAGGAGGCAGUUGCGCCUGAGAGAGGAAGAGAACUACCGUGCUACACACAGUUGUCAGAAGGUGCCUUAUGGUCCUACCAGAGCUGGAGUUUCCUUGGAAGUUCUCCAUUCAAGUAUUGAUGAGACAUAACUCUGCUUGUGAACUCCAAUCCGUGUGACAACCCAAGGCCCUAACUGUCAGCCAAUAUCCAGGACCUACCUGGAUUCUUUCUGUGAGGAGGAGAAAUUGAUGAUACUCAGAUACGGAGAAAGGAAGCAGAACAUUGAAUCCCCCUCAUGACAGGACCAAUUUACAACAUAAGCUGAAGAUUUCUGAUGGCAAAUUGUUGCAAUUUGAUUCAUAAGGGAAAGUAAUGCAGAACAGGAUGACACACAUGCCCGGAUACCACUAUGUUCAAUAUAAACAUGGAUAGACAAAGUCAGCAUGAAUUCAAAAAGAUGCUCUAUAGCCAUUAUAUAUGCUUUACUAAUUUUGUUCAGAAACACA
Dermochelys coriacea (leatherback sea turtle) is the source of this 659-nucleotide long non-coding RNA. RefSeq lists it as uncharacterized. NCBI's taxonomy places the organism in Eukaryota, Metazoa, Chordata, Testudines, Dermochelyidae. The transcript is spliced from 5 exons. The record is from RefSeq and is a predicted model, not a curated record.